CAGGUAGCAUAAUCAUUAGUCUUUUAAUUGAAGGCUGGAAUGAAUGGUUGGACGAGGUAAAAGCUGUCUCUCANAGGAUUAACUAGAAAUUGACUUUUCAGUUAAAAGGCUGAAAUAAAAUUAGAGGACGAGAAGACCCUAUAGAUCUUUAUACCAAUAUUUAAANUUUUAUAGAAGAGGUUUAUCUUUAGAAAUUUGGUAUUUUGUUGGGGCGACAAGGAAAUAAAUUAACUUUCUUUAAUUAANACACUGAUUAGUGGUUAAANNUGAUCCAUUAAUAAUGAUUAUAAGACUAAGUUACCUUAGGGAUAACAGCAUAAUCUUCUCUGAGAGUUCUAAUCGACGAGAGGGGUUGUGACCUCGAUGUUGGACUAAGGG
Molecule: ribosomal RNA, 378 nt
Filed under: Meridialaris sp. Ep6672a
Lineage: Eukaryota; Metazoa; Arthropoda; Insecta; Ephemeroptera; Leptophlebiidae
Description: partial 16S ribosomal RNA
Rfam family: Bacterial large subunit ribosomal RNA
Source: RNAcentral